ACUGAGAACGACUGCAAAGGGAAAAGACUUGCAUUUUGAGAAGGGUCUAGCUGCAGACCCGCAGACCACUCAACGAAACACCCCUUUACUCAACGAAACACCCCCUCACACUACACGACACUCUGAUUGGGUCUCAAGAGACUGAGUCUGAAACGUGAUGACGUUUACGUUGACUGAGUAUGAAGAGAGAGAACCCGAAAAAGUAACAUGGGAAAAACACGGGAAAAUGACAGCGGAAAAGAGCAACACUACGUUCAGUGAAAGAGCAGAUCCUGAGCUGAGAAGAUGCGACUCGGACACUGAUCUGCACAAAAAAGGGGAGCUAUGCAAAGCUUGUGGCUCAUCUGCAGGGACACCAAAGGUCAAUGGUGGAGUACGGUGGAUACAGUGUAAACAGAUGCCACCUUGACUGUGUGAAAAGCAGCAACUACCACUGUUGGUUUUGCACAACAAUCAUUGCGACCAAACAAUAUUUCAUCAAGCAUUUCAUAACCUGCUGCAAGACAGCAUCCACAAUCCACAGUGACCCUAGCAUCUAGGGUCACUCCACCAUCCACAGCAACUCCACCAUCCACAGUGACCCCAGCAGCCCCAGCAGCAGCCCAUCGAAAAAAAAUAUUGUUGGCAAAGCAGUCUAAAACAACAUGCGGUUUUUGUAGCAAAACAGUGCUUAGAAAAAAUCUCAAAACACACAUUGAAAGGCAACACAAGGUGAAAUCAUUGGACAUACCAGCAGAUCACCACCUUAACUCUGUGUGUGUUGACAGGAGAAUUGGAAUUUUUGCAGUGUCAAGAUCUUUUAAGGGUACUGCACACUACAUCCAUGCCCAAAAAUGUACCUGGGGUAUUAACCCUAGUAGGCCUAUAAUAAACACACCUUUUUGUAACAGACAGGUUGCCAUGAUGUUGAAAGUUUGCAAAAACAAAUGAAAUUAUUCAAAACGUUACAUUGUACAGAAGUGUGUUCACAGUGGAAUUUGUGAUACUAUAUUGUAUAAACGUGAUAGUAUAUUGUA
Long non-coding RNA from Solea solea (common sole), 1016 nucleotides. RefSeq lists it as uncharacterized. The transcript has 3 exons. The record is from RefSeq and is a predicted model, not a curated record. NCBI's taxonomy places the organism in Eukaryota, Metazoa, Chordata, Actinopteri, Pleuronectiformes, Soleidae.